GCAUGCCGCGGUGAAUACGUUCCCGGGCCUUGUACACACCGCCCGUCACACCACGAGAGCUUGCAACACCCGAAGUCGGUGAGGUAACCCGCAAGGGAGCCAGCCGCCGAAGGUGGGGCAAGUGAUUGGGGUGAAGUCGUAACAAGGUAGCCGUACCGGAAGGUGCGGCUGGAUCACCUCCUUUCUAAGGA
RNAcentral lists this ribosomal RNA (191 nucleotides) under Geobacillus stearothermophilus. RNAcentral's name for it is "partial 16S ribosomal RNA". It matches the Rfam family "Bacterial small subunit ribosomal RNA", at positions 1352 to 1533 of the family's 1533-position model. Lineage: Bacteria; Bacillati; Bacillota; Bacilli; Caryophanales; Anoxybacillaceae. The record is from RNAcentral.